This is a long non-coding RNA of Nymphaea colorata (pocket water lily), 462 nucleotides long. RefSeq lists it as uncharacterized. NCBI's taxonomy places the organism in Eukaryota, Viridiplantae, Streptophyta, Magnoliopsida, Nymphaeales, Nymphaeaceae. The record is from RefSeq and is a predicted model, not a curated record. The transcript has 3 exons.
UAUCCAUGGGUAAGCAUGGAACUCAUUUCCUGGGACAGCCUUGACACUUGCCGUCUCUCCCUUGAUGCUUGCCCUCUCCCCCUCUCCCACCGCUCACCAGCAUAGGUUGCUCACCAACGUCACAUUGCUCAUUGGUCGUUGCUUCUCACUGUCGUCUGCUACUCAUAGUGUAUGAGUCUCAUUGGCUUGGACAGCACACUAACGUUCCAACAAACUGUCUACUGAGUCCAGCAACAUGUGCAAUGAGUGUGAUGACCUUUUCUAGCUUUUUUGGGUGAGGCCCCACAAUUUAAUCACCACUGAGGGUUUCCUCGAUGACAACUGCGGUUGCAUUUGUUAUCAAGCUUGAGGUGAUAGAUGACAGAAAAGGGAAGCAUGGGCAAUAAAAUGAAGAGAAAUAACAUUUGAAGUGCACAAACUCAAAAGUGCAUGAAUGGAAGUGCUACAUUUCUUAUGUCUUCU